This 533-nucleotide ribosomal RNA is filed under the name bacterium enrichment culture clone Cont223_3130. RNAcentral describes it as "bacterial SSU rRNA". It matches the Rfam family "Bacterial small subunit ribosomal RNA", at positions 8 to 525 of the family's 1533-position model. The record is from RNAcentral.
AGAGUUUGAUCCUGGCUCAGAACGAACGCUGGCGGCGUGGAUAAGACAUGCAAGUCGAACGGGGUUCCAUUGUGUAGCAAUACAUGAUGUAACCUAGUGGCGAACGGGAGCGYAACACGUKGGAAUUUACCAAAAAGUGGGGGAUAGCUCGUCGAAAGGCGAAUUAACACCGCAUGUGAUCGAAAGAUUAAAAGUGGGGGAUCGCAAGACCUCACGCUUUUUGAGAAGCCCGCGGCCUAUCAGCUAGUUGGUGAGGUAACGGCUCACCAAGGCGAUGACGGGUAGCUGGUCUGAGAGGACGACCAGCCUCACUGGAACUGAGACACGGUCCAGACACCUACGGGUGGCAGCAGUGGGGAAUAUUGCGCAAUGGGGGCAACCCUGACGCAGCAACGCCGUGUGAGGGAUGAAGGCUUUCGGGUCGUAAACCUCUGUCAGAAGGGAAGAACGGGCAGUGGUCUAAUAGGGCCAUUGUUUUGACGGUACCUUCAGAGGAAGCACCGGCUAACUCCGUGCCAGCAGCCGCGGUAAUA